Molecule: ribosomal RNA, 497 nt
Filed under: uncultured bacterium
Lineage: Bacteria
Description: partial 16S ribosomal RNA
Rfam family: Bacterial small subunit ribosomal RNA
Source: RNAcentral
GAUGAACGCUGGCGGCGUGCCUAAUACAUGCAAGUCGAGCGAACGGACGCGAAGCUUGCUUUUCUGAUGUUAGCGGCGGACGGGUGAGUAACACGUGGAUAACCUACCUAUAAGACUGGGAUAACUUCGGGAAACCGGAGCUAAUACCGGAUAAUAUUUUGAACCGCAUGGUUCAAAAGUGAAAGACGGUCUUGCUGUCACUUAUAGAUGGUUCCGCGCUGCAUUAGCUAGUUGGUAAGGUAACGGCCUACCAAGGCAACGAUGCAUAGCCGACCUGAGAGGGUGAUCGGCCACACUGGAACUGAGACACGGUCCAGACUCCUACGGGAGGCAGCAGUAGGGAAUCUUCCGCAAUGGGCGAAAGCCUGACGGAGCAACGCCGCGUGAGUGAUGAAGGUCUUCGGAUCGUAAAACUCUGUUAUUAGGGAAGAACAUAUGUGUAAGUAACUGUGCACAUCUUGACGGUACCUAAUCAGAAAGCCACGGCUAACUACGUG